RNAcentral lists this ribosomal RNA (450 nucleotides) under uncultured bacterium. RNAcentral's name for it is "partial 16S ribosomal RNA". It matches the Rfam family "Bacterial small subunit ribosomal RNA", at positions 354 to 796 of the family's 1533-position model. The record is from RNAcentral.
GUGGGGAAUUUUGGACAAUGGGCGCAAGCCUGAUCCAGCAAUGCCGCGUGCAGGAAGAAGGCCUUCGGGUUGUAAACUGCUUUUGUACGGAACGAAAAGGCUCUGGUUAAUACCUGGGGCUCAUGACGGUACCGUAAGAAUAAGCACCGGCUAACUACGUGCCAGCAGCCGCGGUAAUACGUAGGGUGCAAGCGUUAAUCGGAAUUACUGGGCGUAAAGCGUGCGCAGGCGGUUUUGUAAGACAGACGUGAAAUCCCCGGGCUCAACCUGGGAAUGGCGCUUGUGACUGCAAGGCUGGAGUGCGGCAGAGGGGGAUGGAAUUCCGCGUGUAGCAGUGAAAUGCGGAGAUAUGCGGAGGAACACCGAUGGCGAAGGCAAUCCCCUGGGCCUGCACUGACGCUCAUGCACGAAAGCGUGGGGAGCAAACAGGAUUAGAAACCCCGGUAGUCC